GUAUCACUCUAGACUGUGGCGUAAAUUUAAGUGGAACUUAAAAAUGAUGUCAUUUUCCUUUAUCCAGCGCAGAAGUCUGCCUCAUGACCAAUCAACGCCCGGACCUGUCAUAUAGACAGUGGCAGACCAAAAAUUACAGCGCCCCUCUUCGGUAGACUGAACUAAAUAGCAGUGCUCAGCCCGAAACUGGACUAAACGCCUGAAAUAACUAGCUUCCAACCAGCCAACUACAGUAGAAUUCCAUUUCUGGGAGGUCCCAGCAUGUGGCUGCAAUAGCACAUAUCUUGUCCAUCUCGGCUACCAGUUAGUGGCGCAUCAGCACUGUGUGACAACACAACAAAACGUCUACGGUAACCAGAUGGAUUUUUCAUUAACACCAAGCACAUGGGGUCGCUCUGCCCGAGCAGAGCAUAUUUCAGGAAUUUCUUUAAAGGCUCAGGCAUUCAUACAUGCAACAAUGUUUCGCUGGAGAAUGGAGACUUUUCCGGACUGGUGAAGGGCAGUCUACUUUUUUACGCCAAAGAAAAUGUUGCAAUUAGUCCCAGAGGAUAGGCUUUCUUAAUCGGCGUGUGUGCAACACCGCAAAUAAGAGGGGUGCGGUGUUGAGAUGUGAAGUAGCCUACCAACAACUUCGCACUCCACGGCAACAUUGUCGAUUCUUCAAGCGGAAGGCUUUUCGCAAGUGGAGUCGCACAGUGGAAGUGUUGAGGCUCGGGAGAUUACAUGACAAAGAAGACAUCGGCUCAUCUCUACAUCUAAAUGUCCUGUCGCGAUGUCUUUUCAAAUCUCAGGUUGGGUCCUGAAAUCGCCUGACCACGGACUUCGCAUUUGACAGGUCGGCGUCGGCGUCGGCGUAUUGAAUUGUUGGCGGAGGCGCAGCUCCUCCACGCCGGAGCAUCACAUGCCGGUGGCGAGAGCGCCGUCAUAUCUUAAUACAUCCUCGGGCCUCGGCAAGGCAACACAGGAUGUUUUGGACCCCACUGGAAGGCUUAAAUUAGACACCAGGCAUUCUCAGCAUCUGUCAUGACACCCCCGGAACGCACCUCGUGGGCAUAUAACGGCCUGGACAAAUGUGUCUGUCUGCACUUACCUCCGGGUUCCCACAGAGCAACUCAACCCCCCAGCAGGCUCCCUCGGGCGGGCGGCCAUUUUAGACCCAGUGAACUUUCUCUCAGCGGACCGGCAUCUCUUACUAGGGGCACUUGUUUUCCGCCAGCAGAGUGGGAACGGGGGUUGUGUGUUAUGUAGACACGGACGUGGGGGAGAGUCUGGAUUGUGUACACAAUGUGUAUAAGUUAGAAGCCUUUCAUAUAGGCUUGGCACCGCAUGGGAAGCACGGAAGCACUGGCCGAGUGAAGCAUAAAUCUGCCAUAAUGCCCAGCAUAAAAUGGCGCAGCAGGCUCCUCUUUCAGAGUUACUACGACACGCGCUGACAAUGUUUUGUGUUUGGAUCAAAUACUGUUUUUUAUGGCUGAUACAACAGAUUACAUUUUCUUUGACAUGAGAUGUCCUUGUCCUGCCUUGUAACAUUACUUCCACCAUUAAAUGCUGCUUUAGAAAAGUGACUGUGGUUUGAAACGUGUUUUAAUUCUGACUUACAAUGACAAAAUGUGUGAAAGACUUUUCAUUUCGGAAAAGAUUUGUACCUUUUUAUUACACGCAGUGUAUAACAAAAGAAGAAAGAAGUCAAUUCCAAGCCUGUUUUUUUUUCUUCACAAUAAUGAAUGUACUUGUGAACUGAGCUUACGGGAUUUCAUAAGGG
Clupea harengus (Atlantic herring) is the source of this 1762-nucleotide long non-coding RNA. Lineage: Eukaryota; Metazoa; Chordata; Actinopteri; Clupeiformes; Clupeidae. The record is from Ensembl.